Molecule: long non-coding RNA, 1394 nt
Organism: Equus caballus (horse)
Lineage: Eukaryota; Metazoa; Chordata; Mammalia; Perissodactyla; Equidae
Source: RefSeq, a predicted model, not a curated record
AGGUAAGAACUGGGUCACUCAGCCAGCCCUGGCUUCAAGGGGAGUAUGAGAAGAUACCAAUCACAAGCCCACGUUGUUAGCUGUGCUUCUGACCAACCGGCUACAGAUUAGAGGUUCCCACAACCCUCUCCUUGGACUUCAGACACCAGUUAUUUCCUCCAGGGGUGCUGACUAUGAAAGAUGCUGAUCUUUAUAUCAGACUCAGGAAAAAUGGGAGAGUAUCAAACCAUGUCUUAAGAAAAGCAUCUGAUUGACCAGUGAUUCUUUCUGUGAUUAAAAAGAUAGAAAGCUUACAAAACAUAUGUAUUUUUAUUUGAUUUACAUAUUCAAUUCCGUAGUUACGUAAUGUGUGUUUCAUUAACAGCUGUUAAAACCUAGGUUUUGAAAUGCCAUUCCAGCUAACAGAAUUCUAACCAAAAGGAUAUGAAAUGACAUUCUACCCAUACUCUUCAAAAGUAUAAAUGCCAUUUAAGGAGUAAAGAGUUUCUCUUGGAUUAUUUCACUGGCUGAGGUAGGGGUUGGUGGGGAACGGGUAACAGCUGUGAAGAACUCUCAUUUUACAACUCAGAUAACUAGGAUGGUGUUAUUUCAACAAGAUGUGAGUGUGGGACAAGAGCAGUUUAAGGAGGUAGGAGAGGUAUUAGGAAGUGUUGGGCUAGCUAUGCCUGUGGGACAUCUAGGUGGACAUUUAGUGGGCAGGUAAAUAUAUAGAUUUGGGCUUUGGGGAUGCUUGAGAGGAGGAUAUUGAUUUUGAAGUCAGUAACAUCAUGAUAGUGAUAUCAUAUGAGGAAAUAAAUAUGAUGAUCAAACGAGACAGUGAAUUUGUGGUGGAGCAGUUACCUGGGCAGAAGACAGAGGGGCUGAAAUGCUAGAGUGUGGAGAAAGGAAGAGGAUCUGGCAUCAGGGGCAGAAAAGCACUAACAGAGCAAAGUAUUUCAGGCACUCUGGGAGGUGAGAAUUUCUAGAGAGAAAAUGGACAAUAGUGUCUAAUUCUGAAGCAAGGUUAAAAAACCAAUACUAAAACAGAAAAGUAUUGUGACCAUUCAAACCUUUAUUGAGUGUUGAAUGAAUGGAUUUGGUGGCCAGGAGGUCAUUAUCUGUCUUUGUGAGUUACCAAACAGUGGAGGGGAUGGAAGAUUGCUGUAGGCUGAGAUGUGACUUGGAGGCAAGGAAGCUGACAGACAGAAUGUAAUCUAGUGCUUCAAAAACUUUCAGGAAAAGGAAGGAAAAGCUAGACCAUCAGUUCAUCUACUAGAAAGCAAGCUCCAAGGGAACAGGGUUAAUGUCUUUUUAUUUUUUAAUGAAAAAUGAGUUCCCACACUCAAUAUGUCUGGCUUAUUAAGUAAGGACUGAAUAAACACUGCUAAAGGAAAGAAAUGAUGAGGGGUCAGGAA